RNAcentral lists this ribosomal RNA (492 nucleotides) under uncultured bacterium. RNAcentral describes it as "partial 16S ribosomal RNA". It matches the Rfam family "Bacterial small subunit ribosomal RNA", at positions 29 to 507 of the family's 1533-position model. The record is from RNAcentral.
AGUGAACGCUGGCGGUAGGCCUAACACAUGCAAGUCGAACGGCAGCACAGUAAGAGCUUGCUCUUACGGGUGGCGAGUGGCGGACGGGUGAGGAAUACAUCGGAAUCUACUUUUUCGUGGGGGAUAACGUAGGGAAACUUACGCUAAUACCGCAUACGACCUACGGGUGAAAGCAGGGGAUCUUCGGACCUUGCGCGAUUGAAUGAGCCGAUGUCGGAUGAGCUAGUUGGCGGGGUAAAGGCCCACCAACGCGACGAUCCGUAGCUGGUCUGAGAGGAUGAUAAGCCACACUGGAACUGAGCCACGCUCCAGACUCCUACGGGAGGCAGCAGUCGGGAAUAUUGGACAAUGGGCGCAAGCCUGAUCCAGCCAUACCGCGUGGGUGAAGAAGGCCUUCGGGUUGUAAAGCCCUUUUGUUGGGAAAGAAAAGCAGCAGGUUAAUACCCCGCUGUUCUGACGGUACCCAAAGAAUAAGCACCGGCUAACUUCGUG